AUAUCUAUGUGCCUGUACUUUAGCCACACCGCUCAGAACAUAAUUCCUAGGCCUUCCAAGUGGAUUGCCAGAAUGAGGAAAUAAUCUUGAUCCAUGUGCAAUAUCAUGAUUCCCAACCCACUCCUCGUCAUCUUCGUUCCUCGAAGCCAAGUUAUGCUUAGUCUCAAAACCGACAAUAUAUCUUGAACAAAAUGUCAUG
This 199-nucleotide long non-coding RNA is filed under the name Hordeum vulgare. RNAcentral describes it as "long non-coding RNA (HVUL_LNC021123)". The record is from RNAcentral. Lineage: Eukaryota; Viridiplantae; Streptophyta; Magnoliopsida; Poales; Poaceae.